UUACUUAAAUAGCUUAUAUAGAGUGUGACAUUGAAGAUGUUAGGGAAAUAGUUAUAUUUUUAAGUAA
Molecule: transfer RNA, 67 nt
Filed under: Apriona swainsoni
Lineage: Eukaryota; Metazoa; Arthropoda; Insecta; Coleoptera; Cerambycidae
Description: tRNA-Phe
Source: RNAcentral